AACGAACGCUGGCGGCAUGCCUAACACAUGCAAGUCGAACGAUGCUUUCGGGCAUAGUGGCGCACGGGUGCGUAACGCGUGGGAAUCUGCCCUUGGGUUCGGAAUAACAGUUGGAAACGACUGCUAAUGCCGGAUGAAGACGAAAGUCCAAAGAUUUAUCGCCUGAGGAUGAGCCCGCGUAAGAUUAGGUAGUUGGUGGGGUAAAGGCCUACCAAGCCGACGAUCUUUAGCUGGUCUGAGAGGAUGAUCAGCCACACUGGGACUGAGACACGGCCCAGACUCCUACGGGAGGCAGCAGUGGGGAAUAUUGGACAAUGGGCGAAAGCCUGAUCCAGCAAUGCCGCGUGAAUGAUGAAGGCCUUAGGGUUGUAAAGCUCUUUUACCCGGGAUGAUAAUGACAGUACCGGGAGAAUAAGCCCCGGCUAACUCCGUGCCAGCAGCCGCAGUAG
Molecule: ribosomal RNA, 449 nt
Filed under: uncultured bacterium
Lineage: Bacteria
Description: partial 16S ribosomal RNA
Rfam family: Bacterial small subunit ribosomal RNA
Source: RNAcentral